Long non-coding RNA from Bufo bufo (common toad), 144 nucleotides. RefSeq lists it as uncharacterized. The record is from RefSeq and is a predicted model, not a curated record. Lineage: Eukaryota; Metazoa; Chordata; Amphibia; Anura; Bufonidae. The transcript has 3 exons.
CUCUUUUCCACGGGGGUGAUAUUGUCUCAGUCUCUUGAGGAAGCCAUUUUAAUUAACAGUGGCCUUGGUGCUGACCCUGGUGGUAAUUUUCUUAUUGGGAUGUGGUGCUCUCUCUCCACUGUAUGUGUUAGGGCUGCUUCUACA